Molecule: ribosomal RNA, 491 nt
Filed under: uncultured bacterium
Lineage: Bacteria
Description: partial 16S ribosomal RNA
Rfam family: Bacterial small subunit ribosomal RNA
Source: RNAcentral
AGUGAACGCUGGCGGUAGGCCUAACACAUGCAAGUCGAACGGCAGCACAGUAAGAGCUUGCUCUUACGGGUGGCGAGUGGCGGACGGGUGAGGAAUACAUCGGAAUCUACUUUUUCGUGGGGGAUAACGUAGGGAAACUUACGCUAAUACCGCAUACGACCUACGGGUGAAAGCAGGGGAUCUUCGGACCUUGCGCGAUUGAAUGAGCCGAUGUCGGAUUAGCUAGUUGGCGGGGUAAAGGCCCACCAAGGCGACGAUCCAUAGCUGGUCUGAGAGGAUGAUCAGCCACACUGGAACUGAGACACGGUCCAGACUCCUACGGGAGGCAGCAGUGGGGAAUAUUGGACAAGGGGCGCAAGCCUGAUCCAGCCAUACCGCGUGGGUGAAGAAGGCCUUCGGGUUGUAAAGCCCUUUUGUUGGAAAAGAAAAGCAGCAGGUUAAUACCCCGCUGUUCUGACGGUACCCAAAGAAUAAGCACCGGCUAACUUCGU